UACUGCUGGCUUCCCCGACUCACAUACUGCUGGCUUCCCCAACUCCACGCUCCCCGGAGACUCACGCGCACGCUGGGAGCGCACACUACAUGCACAGAGCCCGCGAGUGACAGGGAGGUAGAGGGGAUGCCAAUAGCCGGAGAGGAAACCAGCCAUGUCUAGAUAAAUAUCUGCCUCUCCUCUGUGAGGACGCGGCACUGUUGUAGCGAGUCGGUGAUACGUGGAUGCACAGUGCGGGGUGACGGCAAGUCACCGAGGUUUUCCUGUAAACGCCAGGAGUUUCUCUGUGGAUUUUUCACAACAUCACAAUACAUUGAAGCUUGGCUUGGACAAAUGUGAACUAUCAGCUCUGACUGUCUUACUGGUCUACCUCGUGGAGAGCUGGGCGUAUACAAAAGGUGAGUGGUCGGUGUUGUUGAGAAAGGUCAUACCUCCUUAUUGUCCUUCUUUCUGUCUAUCCCUACCCUCCUCUCCUCUUUAUUGUCGUGAACGUAAAUCGAUAAAUCCGCGAUCGUUUCAACCACACAGAAGAACCGACACAUAGACUCAAAACACGAGAUUCACAGACAGAGAAGACAUGUGGGUGACUGGCGGGUGCUCUGGUGUGGUUAGUUCCAUCUGUUCUGUUAAACAACUAUCGUCUUGAUCUCCUCUCCUUCGAUUUUGUGUUUGCUUCUCUCUUGUAACGCCUCCUAUCGUCGGCACUUAUAUGACCUUAUUGUGUUGCCAGUGCCGUAAAACACUUACUAAAACUAAAAAGACGUAGUUUCUAUGCUGUCCCUAAGGGAUCGUGAUAGUAUUAAUAUCCUGCUGGCAACACAGCUGUGUAAUAAUCAAUGACUAUCUAGCCGUAACUGCAAAACUUCACCAAAAAA
Aplysia californica (California sea hare) is the source of this 875-nucleotide long non-coding RNA. RefSeq lists it as uncharacterized. The transcript is spliced from 2 exons. The record is from RefSeq and is a predicted model, not a curated record. Lineage: Eukaryota; Metazoa; Mollusca; Gastropoda; Aplysiida; Aplysiidae.